UACGAAGGGAGCAAGCGUUGUUCGGAAUUACUGGGCGUAAAGGGCGCGUAGGCGGUUUAACAAGUCAGGCGUGAAAGCCCCGGGCUCAACCCGGGAAUAGCGUUUGAGACUGUUUUUCUAAGAGUUCGGAAGAGGUAAGUGGAAUUCCCAAUGUAGCAGUGAAAUGCGUAGAUAUUGGGAAGAACACCAGUGGCGAAGGCGGCUUACUGGUCCGAUACUGACGCUGAGGCGCGAAAGCGUGGGGAGCAAACAGG
This 254-nucleotide ribosomal RNA is filed under the name uncultured bacterium. RNAcentral describes it as "partial 16S ribosomal RNA". It matches the Rfam family "Bacterial small subunit ribosomal RNA", at positions 524 to 776 of the family's 1533-position model. The record is from RNAcentral.